Gossypium hirsutum (cotton) is the source of this 126-nucleotide non-coding RNA. The record is from Rfam. Lineage: Eukaryota; Viridiplantae; Streptophyta; Magnoliopsida; Malvales; Malvaceae.
UAUUAAAAAUUUCAUCUAUUUUUACUGUUAAAAACUGACGUGAUUAACAAAAUAACCCUACAAUAUAUCUCAUGCCAACAUACAUGGGCAAAUUUUUAAAAAUAAAAUUAAAUAAAAUUUUUAACA